AUGUACGAUCAUAAUAGCCCGGCCUUGGAUCUCUUUUUAGAGGAACCUGUCCUGUAAUUGAUAAUCCACGAUAGGAGUUACUUAUUUUUGUUUUCAUUUUGUAUACCUCCGUCAUCAGAGUAUCCUUUUAGGGAUUAAUAUUCUUAAUAUACAAAAUAUUAUAUGUCAGGUCAAGGUGCAAUUUAUAAAUAAGUAGAGAUGGGUUACAAUAAAUUUAUUUAAACGGAUUAUUAAUUUUAAUUUUAAUAUGAAGGUGGAUUUAAAAGUAAAAUUAUUUUAUUCAUUAAUUUGAUUAUAGCUCUAAAAUAUGCACACAUCGCCCGUCGCUCUUAUUUUAAAAUAAGAUAAGUCGUAACAUAGUAGGUGUACCGGAAGGUGCUCCU
This 383-nucleotide ribosomal RNA is filed under the name Sympetrum danae (black darter). Its description in RNAcentral is "partial 12S ribosomal RNA". The record is from RNAcentral. Lineage: Eukaryota; Metazoa; Arthropoda; Insecta; Odonata; Libellulidae.